RNAcentral lists this transfer RNA (92 nucleotides) under Azospirillaceae bacterium. RNAcentral's name for it is "tRNA-Ser". It matches the Rfam family "tRNA". From Rfam's summary of the family: Transfer RNA (tRNA) molecules are approximately 80 nucleotides in length. Their secondary structure includes four short double-helical elements and three loops (D, anti-codon, and T loops). Lineage: Bacteria; Pseudomonadati; Pseudomonadota; Alphaproteobacteria; Rhodospirillales; Azospirillaceae. The record is from RNAcentral.
GGAGGGAUGGCCGAGCGGCUUAAGGCACAGGUUUGCUAAACCUGCGUAGGCUGUAAAGCUUACCGAGGGUUCGAAUCCCUCUCCCUCCGCCA